AGACUUUUCCUAGUCCCUGAGACCCUAACUUGUGAGGUAUUUUAGUAACAUCACAAGUCAGGCUCUUGGGACCUAGGCGGAGGG
RNAcentral lists this microRNA precursor (84 nucleotides) under Mus spicilegus (steppe mouse). RNAcentral describes it as "miRNA (ENSMSIG00000012204.1)". The stretch from base 8 to 77 matches the Rfam family "lin-4 microRNA precursor family", at positions 1 to 71 of the family's 80-position model. Rfam says of the family: The extents of the hairpin precursors are not generally known and are estimated based on hairpin prediction. The products are thought to have regulatory roles through complementarity to mRNA. The involvement of Dicer in miRNA processing suggests a relationship with the phenomenon of RNA interference. Lineage: Eukaryota; Metazoa; Chordata; Mammalia; Rodentia; Muridae. The record is from RNAcentral.